GGCACUUCUUAUCUGUCUAUGCUCCUCAACUCUUUCUAGGCUCAACUUAUCUUCUCGUAUAGAAGAUGUUCCGCCAUUGUCUUCCCCUAUAGCAUACAACCUGACUUUCUUACUCCUGUCAGAGUCAGUUUUUAUCUCGCUACUUUCCGGGUACGUAUUAUUUUUGUCUCCGUUUGAAUUUUUAAGGCUAUCCAACUGCACAUUAUCCUUUUCUUUGGUGCUAUCCUUCCUUUCCAAACGUCUAGAGUCCCUUUCCGUUGCAUUUUCAGAGUCCCCACCAAGUAGCUUUUCAUUUUUACCUUGAUUCCUUGUCUGGGAACCAUCACCAUCAGAAAACCUUGAAGUUGAUUUCCUUCGGACACUCUCAUUAGCUAGGAAUUGUCCUCUAUCCCCAGCUCUGUCUCCAUUAUCAUACUUGCCCCCAAGUUCUCCAUCCCGAUAC
RNAcentral lists this unclassified non-coding RNA (442 nucleotides) under Hevea brasiliensis (rubber tree). Lineage: Eukaryota; Viridiplantae; Streptophyta; Magnoliopsida; Malpighiales; Euphorbiaceae. The record is from RNAcentral.